Thamnophis sirtalis is the source of this 1323-nucleotide non-coding RNA. The record is from RefSeq and is a predicted model, not a curated record. NCBI's taxonomy places the organism in Eukaryota, Metazoa, Chordata, Lepidosauria, Squamata, Natricidae.
UUUACUUUGAUGACGUCACUGAUCAAAAGUACUGAUAAUUUUCAUUAAAAAAAGGUAUGAACUAUAUCUACUGUCAAUGCAUGUAAAAUCAGAUAUACAUUCCCCUUACUGUACUUAUCCAGUAAAAUGCCCAACAAAAAUAUUUCUGGUUUCAGAUCAAUAUGUUGCUUUACAAUUUUUUCAAACCAUGUAUGUAUUUUUGUCCAGUAUUUCUUUGCUUUUGGGCAUGUCCACCACAUAUGAUAUGUGAUACUAGGUAUCUGAUAGCAUUUCCAACAUUUUGCGGCCAUAUCCUUAAAAAUCUUUGCUAACCUAAAUAUUUCCUUUAUAUGCAGUUGACAUCCUUAAUUUAUAAUCUCUAUCCCAUACUAUCAUUGUCUCCUUUACUUGCUCAGCUUCCAUCUUGAUACUUAACAAAUUGCUAUAUUUUUAAUUAGUUUUUCAUCUAUCCCUGUUAAUAUCUGAUCUAAUUCUGUUAGUUCUUUAUAGAAACCAUACUUUUAGCAUCCUUCUCAUAUCGGGAUUGUAUCUGCACUUGUGGCCACGUUAUAUCAAUCCCUUGACCACUUAGUUCCUGUUUAGUUUUAAGUUCCCCCUUUUCAUUCAGAAUGUCUUUAUAUCUAUUAAUAUUUUCCAUAUCAAUAACAUUUGGAUGAAUCAAUGCCUCCAUUGUGGAGAGCCAGACUGGUAUUUUCAAAUAGUGAUGUUCUUUCAUUUUCUCCCAUAAUAAUAAUGUGUUUCUAAUGUAAUGUCUUUGGAAAUACUUAUGUAUUUUGUUUUUUUUCCAUACCAUAAAAAGCAUGCCAGCCCAAUUGGAGAUCAUGUCCCUCUGAAGUCAACAAUCCUUUGUGCCUCAAACCAAUCCAUUCUUUUAUCCAAGUUCAGCUUAACUGAUGACAACUGAUCACUUUAAUUCUUUGGGAAAAAACAUGAAGGCCCUCCACUCAUGCUACAUGUGUUCUCACAGACUGGGAUGGAUGUUUGGAUGGGACCAUGAGGAGACAGGCCUAACAGAAGAUCACUUGGAAACUGCAGCUGGCUGCGCAUUCGUCCAUGAAACACAACUGCUUGAGACUUGCAAGGCUUACCUGUUCACCUCUGGGGAAAAAUUCAAGGUGUUGGUUGUCAUCUUUGACUUGUGCUAUUAGAUUGCAGAAGGGACUUCAUCCCUCUUCUAAAGAAUGUUAGCUACAAUGUGUUGGCAGUCUUUUUUUUUAAAUCACUGCCUCCAUUCUCUGAAAUAGUCUCAAGAUUUGACUUGCCCCAACCUUAUUGGGAUUUAGGAAGGCAAACAAAACCUGGCUAGGACUUGGAAGGAAUUGA